AGAGCUGUUGCUACUGCCUGCUACCUGAGUGCAGGAAUCUGAGAAGCUGAAGGAGGAUCCAGGGGAAGAUGGCCGCUGCCUUACACUUGUGUGAAGUCUAUGGUCUAAGAGACAGCUGACAUCAACUUUUGUCUCUGACCAUAGGAAUCUAUGAUUUUCUCUUAGAAAAUGGCAUGGAGCUAGGCUGCAUUUUGACCCUUCCUUGCAGGUGGCUGCAGCCACAUGAUUGUGUCCGGCCCAAAGGAAUACAGACAGCAGGAGCAUCUACCUUGUCUGGCCUGGCUCUAACACAUCCCACAGAAUCCUCCAUGUCUGGCCCACUUUCUUCUCCCAUUGAUGGCGGCUUAACACGGUCCGAGGGAAGCCCUUUAGUGCUCUGAGGAAAUGCGGACCCAUAUCAGGAAUCAGCAAGCUUGUUCUGGGAAGGGUCAGAUAAAUAUCUUAAGGCAUCUCAGGUACCUAAGUUCUCUGUUGCUGCUGCUGAUGCUUCUAGAACCCUUUAAAAAUAAAAAAUCUUUCUUAGCUGGAUUUGACCUGUGAACUGUA
Long non-coding RNA from Lutra lutra (Eurasian river otter), 546 nucleotides. RefSeq lists it as uncharacterized. NCBI's taxonomy places the organism in Eukaryota, Metazoa, Chordata, Mammalia, Carnivora, Mustelidae. The transcript is spliced from 3 exons. The record is from RefSeq and is a predicted model, not a curated record.